GUAGGAAGUGACUGUAGGUUUAGAUGAAUGGAAAAUGAACUUGCCAGUUCACAGCUAUGUCCUUCCCAAUUUAGGAGGUUAAGGGCAGGAAAAACAUGAGAAACUCUUUUGAGAAGCUGCACAAGCUGACAUGGAGGAUCAAGGAUUUCAAAAGCUUUGAAUAUAAAGAGGUGUCAGACUUACAUCAGAGCCUGAGACUUGACAUGCCUAUUUUUGCACUCGCUCAUUUUUCAAAUUUCAUAGGCAUUGCUCCCUCCAAAUCACCGCUCUUCUAAUUUUAUCCUGGAGUGUGCAUCCCAGAAGACAUAAGCUGACACAAUUGGGAACUGAAGUUGCUUGAAAAAGCUGGUGGUAAGAUUAGACUCUAGACAGCUUAUACGUAUUUGGACAAGGCAACGUGAUGAAGAAAUAAUAUAAUUGUAGGAUCACCUCUGUCCAGUAGCUGUUAUCCAACAUCUGCAUACUUAGAUUUCUGGAGAGCCCUAUGCCUUCACAAGAACAAGUUCCCACACCAGGGUCAAGAAGGAAACCGUAAGUCAAGACAAAAGUGCCCAGUGAAGGCAGAAGAUGAGGGGUCUCAGGUUGCAUCUUCGGAGGCACGAGGAUUCAAAGGUGAACAAAGCACACAGUACAUCAUUUGAUGUGAUAUCCAUGAAUGACCAUGAAAGUACAGCAAGUGAUUUUCAAGCUGCAAACAAAUUUUAGCAAGCAAAUGGAAGAAGAAAGAGGAGAGUGGUGGUGUGUGCUUUCCCUUUAAUGGCAGAACCCAACAGUCGUACACACCACUUCUACCCUCUUAAGAUGGGUCAGAAUCCAGGCCCAAUUCCAUGUAUACAUGGAAGAGAGGCUUAUUAAAGUAGCCUUCAGUUGCUGGACAGAGUUCCAUCCAAAACUACAGUUAAUAGGUAAGUCGAGAACUUACAUUAAGUGAUAAAUGGCAGUCUCUGCCAAGGAAAAUAUUCUUAUCCAUGCUCAUGGAUAAGAAGAAUCAAUAUCAUGAAAAUGGCCAUACUGCCAAAAGUAAUUUAUAGAUUCAAUGCUAUUCCCAUCAAGCUACCAUUGACUUUCUUCACAGAAUUAGAAAAAACUACUUUAAAUUUCAUAUGGAACCAAAAAAGAGCCUGCAUAGCCAAGACAAUCCUCAGCAAAAAGAACAAAGCUGGAGGCAGCAUGCUACCUGACUUCAAACUACACUACAAAGCUACAGUAACCAAAACAGCUUGGUGCUGGUACCAAAACAGAUACAUAGACCAAGGGAACAGAACAGAGGCCUAAGAAAUAACACCACACAUCUACAACCAUUGAAACUUUGACUAACCAGACAAAAACAAGCCAUGGGGAAAGGAUUCCCUAUUUAAUACAUGCUGAUGGAAAAACUAGCUAGCCGUCUGCAGAAAACUGAAACUGGACCUUAUACAAAAAUUAACUUACAUCUUAUACAAAAAUUAACUCAAGAUAGAUCAAAGAUUUAAGUGUAAGACCUAAAACCAAAAAACCCUAGAAGAAAACCUAGGCAAUACCAUUCAGGACAUAGGCAUUGCCAAAAACCUUAUGAUGAAAAUACCAAAAGGAAUGGCAACAAAAGCCAAAAUUGACAAAUGGGAUCUAAUUAAACUAAAGAGCUUCUGCACAGCAAAAGAAACUACCAUCAGAGUGAACAGGCAACCUACAGAAUGGGAGAAAAAUUUUGAAAUCUAUCUUUCUGACAAAGGGCUAAUAUCCAGAAUCUAUAAGGAACUUAAACAAAUUUACAAGAAAAAAACAAACAA
Molecule: long non-coding RNA, 1769 nt
Organism: Homo sapiens (human)
Lineage: Eukaryota; Metazoa; Chordata; Mammalia; Primates; Hominidae
Product: long intergenic non-protein coding RNA 1684
Source: Ensembl